RNAcentral lists this ribosomal RNA (253 nucleotides) under uncultured bacterium. RNAcentral describes it as "partial 16S ribosomal RNA". It matches the Rfam family "Bacterial small subunit ribosomal RNA", at positions 524 to 776 of the family's 1533-position model. The record is from RNAcentral.
UACAGAGGGUGCGAGCGUUGUCCGGAAUCACUGGGCGUAAAGGGCGCGUAGGCGGCUUGAUAAGCGUGCGGUGAAAGCCCGGGGCUCAACCCCGGGUCGGCCGUGCGAACUGUCGAGCUGGAGCACUGUAGAGGCAGGUGGAAUUCCGGGUGUAGCGGUGGAAUGCGUAGAGAUCCGGAAGAACACCGGUGGCGAAGGCGGCCUGCUGGGCAGUUUCUGACACUGAGGCGCGACAGCGUGGGGAGCAAACAGG